This 411-nucleotide ribosomal RNA is filed under the name Purpureocillium lilacinum. Its description in RNAcentral is "LSU rRNA". It matches the Rfam family "Eukaryotic large subunit ribosomal RNA", at positions 77 to 497 of the family's 3401-position model. Lineage: Eukaryota; Fungi; Ascomycota; Sordariomycetes; Hypocreales; Ophiocordycipitaceae. The record is from RNAcentral.
GCCCCAGUAACGGCGAGUGAAGCGGCAACAGCUCAAAUUUGAAAUCUGGCCCCCAGGGCCCGAGUUGUAAUUUGCAGAGGAUGCUUUUGGCGCGGUGCCUUCCGAGUUCCCUGGAACGGGACGCCAUAGAGGGUGAGAGCCCCGUCUGGUCGGACGCCUAGCCUGUGUAAAGCUCCUUCGACGAGUCGAGUAGUUUGGGAAUGCUGCUCUAAAUGGGAGGUAUAUGUCUUCUAAAGCUAAAUACCGGCCAGAGACCGAUAGCGCACAAGUAGAGUGAUCGAAAGAUGAAAAGCACUUUGAAAAGAGGGUUAAAUAGUACGUGAAAUUGUUGAAAGGGAAGCGCUUGUGACCAGACUUGGGCCCGGUGGAUCAUCCAGCGUUCUCGCUGGUGCACUCCGCCGGGUUCAGGCC